RNAcentral lists this ribosomal RNA (423 nucleotides) under uncultured bacterium. RNAcentral's name for it is "partial 16S ribosomal RNA". It matches the Rfam family "Bacterial small subunit ribosomal RNA", at positions 361 to 776 of the family's 1533-position model. The record is from RNAcentral.
AUUUUGGACAAUGGGGGAAACCCUGAUCCAGCCAUGGCGCGUGUAUGAUGUAGUAAUUCGGGUUGUAAAGUACUAUUGGUAGGAAAGAAAAGGUAUCCCCUAAUACGGGAUACUGCUUCCGGUAUCCGCAGAAUUAGCACCUGCUGAACACGUGACAGCCGCCGCGGUAAGACGUAGGGUGCACGCGUUAAUCGGAAGUUCUGGGCGUAAAGCGUGUGUAGGCGGUUCGGAAAGAAAGAUGUGAUAUCCCAGGGCUCAACCUUGGAACUGCAUUUUUAACUGCCGAGCUAGAGUAUGUCAGAGGGGGGUAGAAUUCCACGUGUAGCAGUGAAAUGCGUAGAUAUGUGGAGGAAUACCGAUGGCGAAGGCAGCCCCCUGGGAUAAUACUGACGCUCAGACACGAAAGCGUGGGGAGCAAACAGG